RNAcentral lists this ribosomal RNA (398 nucleotides) under uncultured bacterium. Its description in RNAcentral is "partial 16S ribosomal RNA". It matches the Rfam family "Bacterial small subunit ribosomal RNA", at positions 523 to 918 of the family's 1533-position model. The record is from RNAcentral.
AUACGUAGGGUGCGAGCGUUGUCCGGAAUUACUGGGCGUAAAGAGCUCGUAGGUGGUUUGUCGCGUCGUCUGUGAAAUUCCGGGGCUUAACUCCGGGCGUGCAGGCGAUACGGGCAUAACUUGAGUACUGUAGGGGAGACUGGAAUUCCUGGUGUAGCGGUGAAAUGCGCAGAUAUCAGGAGGAACACCGGUGGCGAAGGCGGUUCUCUGGGCAGUAACUGACGCUGAGGAGCGAAAGCAUGGGUAGCGAACAGGAUUAGAUACCCUGGUAGUCCAUGCCGUAAACGGUGGGCGCUAGGUGUAGGGGUCUUCCACGACUUCUGUGCUGUAGCUAACGCAUUAAGCGCACCGCCUGGGGAGUACGGCCGCAAGGCUAAAACUCAAAUGAAUUGACGGGG